GACGAACGCUGGCGGCGUGCCUAAUACAUGCAAGUCGAGCGGACGAAUCGAAAGCUUGCUUUUGAUUCGUUAGCGGCGGACGGGUGAGUAACACGUGGGCAACCUGCCCUGUAGACGGGGAUAACACCGAGAAAUCGGUGCUAAUACCGGAUAACACGAAAUGUCGCGUGACGUUUCGUUGAAAGACGGCGCAAGCUGUCGCUACAGGAUGGGCCCGCGGCGCAUUAGCUAGUUGGUGAGGUAACGGCUCACCAAGGCGACGAUGCGUAGCCGACCUGAGAGGGUGAUCGGCCACACUGGGACUGAGACACGGCCCAGACUCCUACGGGAGGCAGCAGUAAGGAAUCUUCCGCAAUGGACGAAAGUCUGACGGAGCAACGCCGCGUGAGCGAAGAAGGCCUUCGGGUCGUAAAGCUCUGUUGUUAGGGAAGAACAAGUAACGCAGUAACUGGCGUUACCGUGACGGUACCUAACGAGAAAGCCACGGCUAACUACGUG
This 498-nucleotide ribosomal RNA is filed under the name uncultured bacterium. RNAcentral's name for it is "partial 16S ribosomal RNA". It matches the Rfam family "Bacterial small subunit ribosomal RNA", at positions 28 to 507 of the family's 1533-position model. The record is from RNAcentral.